ACAGCAGUAGCCGCGGGAAUACGAGGGGAGCUAGCGUUGUUCGGAAUUACUGGGCGUAAAGCGCGCGUAGGCGGCUUUUUAAGUCAGAGGUGAAAGCCCGGGGCUCAACCCCGGAAUUGCCUUUGAAACUGGAAAGCUAGAAUCUUGGAGAGGUCAGUGGAAUUCCGAAUGUAGAGGUGAAAUUCGUAGAUAUUCGGAAGAACACCAGUGGCGAAGGCGACUGACUGGACAAGUAUUGACGCUGAGGUGCGAAAGCGUGGGGAGCAAACAGGAUUAGAUACCCGAGUAGUCCCUGUCUCUUAUAC
This 305-nucleotide ribosomal RNA is filed under the name uncultured bacterium. RNAcentral describes it as "partial 16S ribosomal RNA". It matches the Rfam family "Bacterial small subunit ribosomal RNA", at positions 508 to 807 of the family's 1533-position model. The record is from RNAcentral.